This 415-nucleotide ribosomal RNA is filed under the name uncultured eukaryote. RNAcentral describes it as "bacterial SSU rRNA". It matches the Rfam family "Eukaryotic small subunit ribosomal RNA", at positions 592 to 1013 of the family's 1831-position model. The record is from RNAcentral.
CAACAGUGUAUGCUAAAGUUGUUGCGGUUGAAAAGCUCGUAGUUGGAUUUUGGGCGGGCGCAACCGGUCCGUCGCAGGGCGUGUCACUGGUUGCGUUCGCCUCACCUUCGGUUCUCCGUCGGUGCUCUUGACUGAGUGUCGGCGGUGGCCGAUAAGUUUACUUUGAAAAAUUAGAGUGUUUCAAGCAGGCGAUUUGCUGGAAUACAUUAGCAUGGAAUAAUAGAAGAUGACCACCACGCAUUUUUUUGGUAUAUUGCUGGAGGUAAUGAUUAACAGGGACAGUUGGGGGGCAUUAGUAUUUAAUUGUCAGAGGUGAAAUUCAUUGAUUAAUUAAAGACUAACUUAUGCGAAAGCAUUUGCCAAGGAUGUUUUCAUUAAUCAAGAACGAAAGUUAGGGGAUCAAAGACGAUCAGAU